CGUGAUUGCGUCACACGCCGUACGUCGCCGCGCGCGUGCGCUCCUUUCCACGUGCGAAAGCCUCUAACUCGUGGGGUUCUGGACGCCGUGGAAGCCUGACGCGCGCCGCUCUGCUCUCGCCAUGAAGCCAGGUUUCAGCCCCCGUGGGGGUGGCUUUGGUGGCCGAGGGGGCUUUGGUGACCGUGGCGGUCGAGGUGGCGGCCGAGGUGGCUUUGGUGGGGGCCGAGGUGGCUUUGGUGGAGGCCGAGGUCGUGGUGGAGGCUUCAGAGGCCGUGGACGAGGAGGAGGAGGAGAAAGAGGAGGAAGAGGUGGCGGGUUCCAGUUUGGUGGCAAUCGGGGUCGUGGUAGGGGAGGAAAAAGAGGAAAUCAGUCGGGGAAAAAUGUGAUGGUGGAACCUCACCGUCAUGAGGGUGUCUUCAUUUGUCGUGGAAAGGAAGAUGCCCUAGUCACCAAGAAUCUGGUCCCUGGAGAAUCAGUUUAUGGAGAAAAGAGAGUCUCAAUUUCGGAGGGAGAUGACAAAGUCGAGUACCGUGCCUGGAACCCCUUCCGCUCCAAGCUGGCAGCAGCAAUCCUGGGCGGUGUGGACCAAAUCCACAUCAAGCCAGGGGCCAAGGUGCUCUACCUUGGGGCUGCCUCCGGCACCACUGUCUCUCAUGUCUCUGACAUCGUAGGCCCGGAUGGUCUGGUCUAUGCAGUUGAGUUCUCUCACCGCUCUGGCCGUGACCUCAUUAACUUGGCCAAGAAGAGGACUAACAUUAUUCCUGUCAUUGAAGAUGCUCGGCACCCGCACAAAUACCGCAUGCUCAUUGCAAUGGUGGAUGUGAUCUUUGCCGAUGUGGCCCAGCCAGACCAAACCCGGAUUGUAGCCCUGAAUGCCCACACCUUCCUACGUAAUGGAGGACACUUUGUGAUUUCCAUUAAGGCUAACUGCAUUGACUCCACAGCAUCUGCCGAGGCAGUAUUUGCCUCUGAAGUGAAAAAAAUGCAACAGGAAAAUAUGAAACCCCAGGAGCAGUUGACUCUAGAGCCAUAUGAAAGAGACCACGCUGUGGUCGUGGGUGUAUACAGGUGAGCAGGGGGCCCUGUAUUCCAACAGGACAAAUGUCUCUGGCCCCAGCACCCUAGAGCCACAUGGUUCAAUACUUGUUAGGAGUGCCCCUAAAGUAGUGACAAGCUCUGAUGCCCCUUAUCUUUCUCAUAGGCCGCCCCCCAAGGUGAAGAACUGAAGGCUGGCUCUUCAUCUGGAUUGCUAGAAAUUGUGUUGCUACUGUUACACGUGUGUUUUUCUAUUAAAAGACUCAUCCUUC
Pipistrellus kuhlii (Kuhl's pipistrelle) is the source of this 1307-nucleotide RNA transcript. It is a transcript of the gene named fibrillarin, with no coding region annotated. The record is from RefSeq and is a predicted model, not a curated record. Lineage: Eukaryota; Metazoa; Chordata; Mammalia; Chiroptera; Vespertilionidae. The transcript is spliced from 9 exons.